This 338-nucleotide RNase P RNA is filed under the name Lachnospiraceae bacterium. Its description in RNAcentral is "RNase P RNA component class A". It matches the Rfam family "Bacterial RNase P class A". From Rfam's summary of the family: Ribonuclease P (RNase P) is a ubiquitous endoribonuclease, found in archaea, bacteria and eukarya as well as chloroplasts and mitochondria. Its best characterised activity is the generation of mature 5'-ends of tRNAs by cleaving the 5'-leader elements of precursor-tRNAs. The record is from RNAcentral. Lineage: Bacteria; Bacillati; Bacillota; Clostridia; Lachnospirales; Lachnospiraceae.
AGAGUAGGGUAUGGGAUCGCGUGGCGUAUUGUCACGAGGAAAGUCCGGGCUUCACAGGGCAGGAUGCCGGAUAACAUCCGGUGGAGGCGACUCCAAGGCCAGUGCAACAGAGAAUUAACCGCUGACAGAUAAUGUCAGUAAGGGUGAAAAGGCAGUGUAAGAGACUACCGCUCUUGUGGUAACAUAAGAGGCUGAUGUAAACCCCAUCCGAAGCAAGACAAGAACGAGACAUAAGGCGGCCCGUCUGUCUCAGGUAUGUCGCUUGAACCUGUCGGCAACGACAGGUCUAGAUAGAUGAUCUCACAAGACAUAACCCGGCUUAUCGCCCUGCUCUUUUA